UCCAGGCUGUACUUUAUUUUACACAAGUGGUGGCCCCAGAGCCACAGGGACGUGUUCUGGAGAGUAGGCACAGUGCCUGAGGCUGCAAGAGCCAAAUACAGGGAUUCAUGCCUUCUCCUUGGUCCCCAUGACCAAAUUAAAAAAAGAAAAACCAACAAAUCACACAGCACACAUCGCCACACCCAUCUCCCUCCUUCCUUUCAGUAACAGCCAAUUCAGCUUUCUAGCCAAAGACAGUGGCUACAACUGAAUUUACAGAGAACCAUGCAGCCAAGAAACCAGAGCCAUGGAGGGGAGGGGCUUUGCGUUGACUUCCCACAUGUGCUGUCCCAUAGCAGCUACGUGACUCCACCAAGCCACUGUGUGGUUGGACACUGACAGGACAGGCGAUAAGACAAGCUAUGCAGGUGAAACUCCAAGGCAACCCCUUCAUGGUGUUGGCCAAACCCUCGAGCAGGUGACCUGUGGGGAGCCUAUCUGGACUCAGCUGGUGGAUCCAAAGCACGAGCCAGGCGUGAGGUU
RNAcentral lists this long non-coding RNA (522 nucleotides) under Mus caroli (Ryukyu mouse). Its description in RNAcentral is "predicted gene 12744 (MGP_CAROLIEiJ_G0003531.1)". The record is from RNAcentral. Lineage: Eukaryota; Metazoa; Chordata; Mammalia; Rodentia; Muridae.